Aquila chrysaetos chrysaetos is the source of this 11108-nucleotide long non-coding RNA. RefSeq lists it as uncharacterized. Lineage: Eukaryota; Metazoa; Chordata; Aves; Accipitriformes; Accipitridae. The transcript has 5 exons. The record is from RefSeq and is a predicted model, not a curated record.
CCCAGGUAGCGUGCACAAGAAAUUAGGGCUUUCGCAAGAUGCCGUAAUGAAUUGCAGCCCCAAGUUCCAGCCGUGCUCUGCCUACGCCCACGGCGUGCUGCAGGGGCAGAGUUACCCAGCUCAAUGCCACCGCCACCGCAACGGCAGAGCAUCUGUGUCAAGGGCCAGCGCGGGGCCGUCAGCACUGCGGGAACACAGAGCCACAGCUCCCUGCCUUCAUAUGCUGUGUCAUAAGCUAGGAUCAUAUGGUGCAUCUUGCAGCAGUAAUCAGGUGACUGAAAAUCAGGACAUGAAAGGGCUUUGGCAAUGCCAAAAGCAAAACGUAAGAAAAAAACUUUCCUCUCCCCUUACUCUGUAGAAGUUCAGUAUUGUGCAGAUGAUCCGAAAUUUUCUGAAGUGCUAAAGGCUGACUGUGGGACGUAAGUGUUUGACGUUGGGUACGGGGAUCUUCUGCUUCUACAAUAAAUGAGACACUUCUUCACAGGGAAGUCUUCGGACUUUCCAGGCAAGAGGUAAUGGCAGAAACCUGAUAUUGUUGGAGGCUGGCUGUAGGAAAGGCAACUGCUAAUGGCUAGCGUUGAUGUUCUGCCGCACUUUGGACUUAAAAGUACGUGUUUUAUGGUGACGGGCGAAGGGAAGCUGAACUUUAAAGGCUUCACUUGCUGUAGCAGGAGGCCUCCAGUUGAAUGUCCAGCUUGACUCCAGCCCAGUCCGCGCCACUCACCGAGUCAGCCUGCGCCUGGGGAGCCCCGCGCAAGGAAAGGGAAGAGCGGCAGCUUGAGCCGGACCCCCGGCGCGGGCAGCACGAGUGGCUGCUCCCGAGAAAAGUGACAGCUACCUCUGGAAGAGUGACCAGCUGGGUACUGCUGCAUACUGGGGCACCGAACAGUCAAGGCCAUAAAGUGGGAAGUACACUGUAUUCCCUUGAUUCGGCAGGGCAAACACGGUCACUACCACCCCGUGGGGCUCUGCAGCAUGUCACCCAAGCACGGUGCUGAAAACGCAGCGGUGACCGUCUGCGUUCACAGGAGUGUGGGAGAAAAGUGUCAUUAGUGCAAACGCAGGGGCCAGAAGCGCUUGUACUACAGACGACUAUUGAUUUCCAAAAAGAAAGCGACUGAUGAAUUGCUGCAGGUCCAGCUCUAGCAGAUGCCCGAGUGCUGCUUGACCCAGCGCUCUCCACGUGCCUGCAGGGAGUGACUCCCCCAGCAGAAGCAGACAAAGAUGAAUGGCUCAUUUCCCCCGUAAUGCACCACAGAAACAGGCUUUUAUGACAAAUAGAGCACAGACCAAGACGGAAAGGGCGACAGUCAUUUUCGAAGGUCACACGUACCAUUUCUUUAUGGCAAGUUUGCCUUCUGUGACUGACAAAAGCAGGACAGAUCAAGUGUCUUCCAACAGACCUGGAUUAAAAAUGAAGUCAUGUUACCUGGAGAACUGACAGCCCCACCAGAAAUAAUAGAGGCUGCUGACAGUUCUGGUUUCACAAUAAGAAGCAUCUUCCCACGUUGUCAAAAGAGCUUCUCUGGUAUGGGCAUAAAUAAGGCAUUAUUUGAAUGGAAAUGUUAAUGGCAAAGAGCUAUAAAUCAUAUUGGUCUGUUGUAAAAAUACACCGUAGCUGAAAAAUGCAUUCUUGUUUCUCAUACGUAUGAUAAUACAUAUGUGUGUAUAAACAAGAUAUGCAUAUCUAUUCGUAUGUCUAUACAUUUGUGUAUAAUUCUACGUACGUGUUGUACACAAGUUGGUAACUAAAAAUACUUAGUAAUCAGUCCUUCCCCUAAGAGCAAACGGUUGGUGUGAUGCACUGAAGGCUGUUGUGCAAGAUUUGGCUAAGUAUCUUUCCCAUACAUAAAGGUUGUAACGUAGCAACCAUUGUUUUCUGCUCAGAGGACGCUAUUUCCGAGCUAAUUGUUCCUAGCCUUGUUAGGUGGCUGCUGUCACGGUUCUUGACGCGCUGCUGAGCCGGACGAGAAGCACAGCGGCUUUGAUCAACUACAGUCUCGAUGAAGCUGGCCUUGGAGAAAGAGGCGUCGCGAACAAGGGCUCACCCUUUGAUGGCACGCUCUGUGGUGAAGGAGGUAUUUAGCUUAAGAGCCUGAAGUGUUGAGACGGCCUCGCUGUGACGGCAAGCUGCGCCUGGCUGCUGGCUGGGCUUGUGGCCACGGCUCGGGAAGAACCCACAGCCUGAGGCCACGCUGCAAACCCUGAGCCGAAGGCGGUCAGCUCUUUUACUAUGUCAUAUGUAUGUAUAAAUACGUACAUACAUACACACACACACACAUCCCUGCGUGCACGUCGGGAUGAAGAAGAAUUCCAGCUCUCAAUGCUCAGAACAACUUUCUUCACCUGAAGGACCACAGCAGCUGACCCCAAGGGACAGUACCUGCAGCGUCCAGCUGCUGAGCCCGGACGAUCACCGCUACCGUGGCACUGCUGCUAGAAACCGGGGGUGCCCCCAUCGCCCCGGGGGCCGACAGUAACGGGAACACCACGGGAGCAUCCUGCGAUUGCUGCUGCGAGCGAAACCCCUGGCAGGGAGAAGGAAGGGAGUUGAACAGGAGAGGUACCAGCCCAAGUACCUCUCUUCCAGCAGGCACCGUCCCCGGAGGGGCUCUGGCUGCUCGCCCGGGGACAGGACGGGGACCGGCCUGUGACCGCAGAGGCCAGGGCAGUCCCGAGCCCGUGCCCUGGCAGGCAGAGGCUCCCGCAGCGGGCACGGCCGGCAGCGGGCACGGCCGGCAGCGGGCACGCUCCCCCCGCCGCCGGGCUCGCGGCCGAUGGAGGUGUCGGGUGCGAUGCCAAUAUAGGGUUAUAUAAAUGUAAAAGCAUUUUAUAUAAGCCUAUUUUAUCUGCAAAUCAUUUAUAUUUAGAACACCUAUUUCUACUGGAAACACUAAAACCAUAUUACAUAAGAGCUUGUUUAAAUCCUUUGGCUUAAGGUUUGGGCAGGGGGAGGGGUUGGUUCAGGCACGGUGCAUUCAGGCUGCGUUUUAUAAUCAGAGCCUCAACAGGCAGCCGAAAGCUGGUCUUGGAAUCCUUUUUGCUUUCACUCCACACUGCCCUGACAAUAGCAGAAUGCUUCGUUGGAGGGAAAUUUUCCUCUCGCUCAGUGCUGCCUUCAUGUUUGGAAAUUUUCAUUUGUAAUGCUCUGGAUGUCUUGCCAACAUAGCAGAGACGGCAGCUCAGCACCGCCCGGCCAACCUCCUGAAGUCCGGGCUGGUACAGCGCGCGGGAACGCUACUGACAUCACCUGAGUGACUGCGGCGUCGUUCUCAGAAAUUACAAAAAAAGCAUUAAUUGGAACCAACUAUUUAGCAAUAUAAAAUGACUUACCUCGCCAUUCACGCAACAAUAUUUUCUAACGAAUUAAUUAUUCCCCAAGCCCUUUCCUGAGGGGAAGGCAGGAAAGAUGGUGACAGCGGUCACAAAAUACAUGUAAAACUGCGCCGGAGGCAGCUGAACCACUUUGGUUACACGGCCACGUGACUGCAGAAGCCGGCCCUAGGGCCAGCGCACGCCGCUCUGCCACGGCCGUGAAAAGGUUCGUUUCCCAUCAUAUGCCAGAACAAACCGCUUUAGUACAGGGUUGGGGUGCGACUGCACCGCGCCGCACCGCUGGGCCACGCGACGGUAAGAGCGUGGGGGGCGAGGGGCCGGCGGGGCUUCCCGCAGGACUCCCGAGGGAGCAGAGCAGCUCCGAGAGCCCGGGCAGAGAUACGGCCAGCGCUGCGCCCUCCGGCAUCACCCCCGCGGCCGGGCGCGGCGCGCGCCGCCGUCACCACCGUCCACCCCGAGGCCGGGCGCUGCCCCGGCCUCGCAGCGUGCGUCCCAGCCAGCCCCGCUCCUCUGCCGCCGCGAAGGCCGGCCGGCGAACCCCGGCACAGCCCAGCGUCCUGACUCGCCUUUCCGAGGCGGCACGGCCAGAGCGUUGUCUCCAGGCGGGAUGUGCUACCUCUACCAAGUGCCACCGCUCCCCGGCACCGGCACACUUGGCUCUCCGACAGGAGCAGCGCAGAGCUCUCCCGCUGCUUUCUCAUCUGGACGCUACCUUUAAUCACCAUCACCGCUCCAAUUCUCCCUGCAGCUGCUCCAUAUUCAGAUGACGUGGUUCAUUAGUUUCUAUAAAUGGCCAGGACAUUGCAUAGAUUUCAGGGACAAAGUAAGAGCUAAAGCUGUAAAUGACUUUUUCUCCUUGGCCGAAGACUCCUUGCAAGGUGACUCAAACUCCAGCAUCUGGUGGAGCCCAGUUUGUCCCACCCCAGCCAGCACCCUGCUCCAGCAGGGCGAGCCUUAACCGCUCCAUCUUCCAUUUUCCCUGCUCUAAAGUGGAAAAGACAAAACACAAAUUUCUUAGGGGUGCGGGAGGAAAGCAACUAACAUUUGAGCAUGCUGCAAAACCUGCUGGGACUUUCUUUCCCUCGCCAGGAAGCGCAGGUGGCUUAAACUGUUCGAAACCGAUCUCAUUCCCAAAUUUCUGUGAGCUCAAAUUUCUGGGCGGGCGAUGGGGCUGGGGAGGCGCGUGGCAGCGAGACGGCAGGCGGGUGCCCUGACACCCGGAGGAAACGUGCCCCGCUGGCAAAUUACCCAAGGGCACGAGCAGAGGGGUCUCCAGCUUGAUUUUUACAGCAGCUUCGUGAGUAUUUUAAGGAGAAGGUGGGGAAGGGCCGAGGCGGUCUGCCGCUGACCUGCUGCCACUGUCCUCGCUGGCGGCGUGCGGGGCAGCCGGAGCUUUCCCAACGCCGGGCUGCCCGACCCCCCCAGGGGCCGGGGGCCGGUGCCAGGCAGCUGCCCUGCCUGCUUGCCCAGCUCCCCACCGCCGCACAUCGCCGCUCAAUUAGCUUAAGCAAAUUCUUCUCAUACUUCACUUUAGCCAGACACUGUAAAUUGGAUUAAAGUGGUGCCUGGAGAGAUUUCUAGAGCCAAAUAUUUAAAACUAACAUGAACUUGAACCGUUUUCUGGGCCACCACAGGGGUGCCCCCCCCCCCACCCCCCAGCGUGCGGGGGGCUCCCCAGCUCCAGCUCCGCGGGUUUGAAGCCAGCUCUCCUGCGACACUGCCCGCGGAUGCUAAAAUUGAUGUCAAAGCCUGCAACAGCGAAGAAGUUCAGCUGAAAAACAUAUCUUUCAUUUCUGCUUGGACAAAAUUUUACUGGGGCUGAUUGUUAAAGGAGCUGGGCAUCCCCCUGCUCCGGGGAACUGCCUGAGCUCCCGGGGCAGGCAGGCCGCUAAAUCCAGCUGAUUAUUUCACUUUAAGCAGUCCAUCACCUUCUAUUAUUUCUCACCUGUCGUAAAAGUCAAGUGGUGUAGUGAACAUCCGUGAUGUUCAUGGAUGAGCAUAGCAUUUCAACUAUUUUAUGGACCCGGAAGGCAAAUCCGUCUCAUUUUUUGAACGUGGAAGAAGAGAAACCGAGGCCGUCGGAAAUACUAGUCAUGCUGGCAGCCUAAGGACCCAGAUCAUCCGCAAUGCUGCUGAGAAAAGUAACCUGCAGAUACACCUGGGAAACCCAGGGGAGCCCAGCUUCGCUGCUGCGGGACCUGCACGGUGCUGGGGGGAGCCCACCGUUUUCCUGAGCUUUCCUUCCUCUGCUGAAAGGCUACGGAGCGCUACAAUGACGCCGGUCUGGUUGUGGCACCUAACUGGGAGAAGACCAGAUGAUCGAGACGAAUCACUCUGUGUUAACCAGCCCAGCUGAAUAAAACUGAUGACACGGUCCUCACCCACGGACUGUUUUGCAUCCAUCUGAGUCUGCAUUGUAUUGACAAACACUGGUGACUUGCAAUGUAUAUAGCAGAUUCAAUUUGACCACAGAAGGCAAGUAAGUGGAUAGCAGUUUGGACUCAUGGAAGACGGCAAUUUUUGUUUUAUCUUAAAGAAUAAAGCAGUUUGGCUUAGCCUCAGAGAUUUUAAGUAAGCAUUUUCUAAUGGCUCAAUGAACUCAUAAAUUAUGGGGUUAAGGCCGAGUUCACGCUUGCUUCUGAGCACGGUCUCCAUGUGCUGGAGACUGAGACUUGGCAACGUAAAGCCCUCUCGUGAGCCUGCCCCCUUCUCCCAGGCUGAAACCAGCCUCUGGCUCCCAAGCUCUCCCCACUCGCAAAGGAGCAGAAACGCCUCAGCGAUGGGUGCGCGAGGGAUUUGAUGAGCUGGCGGAGCACUGGUCAGCAGCCCAUCGCCAGCUGCACCAAAAAACUCUGACAGUUCCCAAACUGGCUCCAGGUGAUGGGAACCCGCUCCCACACCUGCAGGGACCAGCUACCCCUCCUGUAAAUGUACACCGGUAAGCGUAGCUGUCAGCCCCUGAAAGGAAGAGUCAGUUAGCAAGAGAAAAACACUGUGGUUUUUAUUUUGUCUUAGGCUGGAAGGAAGCCACGGAUCACAGCUCGGAGAGCAGGCUGCGAUCAGCUGAGAAAAAUACAGCUCCCUAGUGACAGCCGAGCUGUGAAAUAGAGCUUCGUUUUGCUGCUUGGCAGCGCCUGUGAGGUCGUAUCAGUUAAAUAAAUACGAUGCCAGGCUGAUGUGUUGUAGGGAAUGGUUUAUGACCUUCAUCCGAUGAAAAAGAGAGCAGGCAGGUGUUGAGAGAAGGUGAACGAACACGUUUGUGUUAAUAGCCAUAAUCAGUCAUAUUUUGGAGAACGCGAGACGCCAGCCCGCUGCCAGCAUAGCCGUGCUGCCUCUGCCUCGGGGGUUUGGCGUGGGCCUACAAACAUGCAAGAACUGGGUGUUUUCCCCCAGACAAACCCCGUGUGAAAGCCUCCCUGCUCCCGGCAGCCUUCCGCAGCCAGCCAGCCCUGCAGCCCCGCUCUGUUACCAGCUUUCCAACAUCCUGUUUUCACCGGGUUAUUUUAAUCUCCGUUUCCCAUCAUAUUUUUCCUCCUGCCCAUGCCAACGCAGACUGUAAUUCCUGGCAGGCAGGGCGGAAAUCUCCUCCCCGGGCUGCGCCAGCAUUUUGGAAGAUGAGCCGGACUCUCCCCUGAUCGCGCCUGGCUCCUCUCCGCUGCCGGCGCUGGUACCUGCUGCUGGCCCCAAACCCCCACCACGGCCAACCGCCUGCUUCACAGCAAGUCUUUUUGAAUUCACUCAGCCACUAAAUUGCUCGAGCAGCUCUGUGCUUCCAUAUUUUGCUCCACGAUGGCUGAAGAACCAGAAAACGUGCUUCAUUGCUGACAUAAUUAUGCUUUUAUCAGGACAAGAGAAACGAUGCAAGGUACUGAUUAGCUAUCCCGGAGCCACACAGGUAUGGACAGUCAGACUCCUUCAUGUCCUCCCUAGCUAGCGGUGAAGUUUUGGCAGCUGCAAGCUGUGAGCCGCUCAGUGGCUGCCCAGCUUGCCGCGGCUCCACCUAGGCUUGCAGGUUUUGCUUUACUCUUAAAUUUCCUCUGUCCUGGAUGAUGAAUCUCCUUGCCCUGUACAGGUCCCUAAGCCAGUCACUGUGAGGUUUUUUAUACCUUGUCUCGCUGGAAAUCGAUGCUGUACUCUAGGUGAUGCAGUUAGAAAGGUCAAUAGAAAUACGGAUGUAAGUGCCAGCAGUACCCAAAGGACGUUCCCAUCCGCUCUGCACUCCAAUAGCUGUAUAGACGGGCACCCUGCUGCUUCACAGGGCUAGGUGUGAUGUAAAAUUGAGACAUUCAAACAAUCGAGGGUCUCUCUGCAUAGAGCAAGUAAAAAGAUUAUAAAGAAUCAUGGAAAAAUCAGUGAAAUGUGUGAGGGUUCAAAAGAUAAUUUAGUAUGUAGAAGUAACUUAAUCUUUCAGUACAUAUCAACGUCAAACUUGCUAAGAGACUCUGUAGCAUUAGCAGAAAAAAAUCUGAGGCAGACAUAACACAAAAUAAAAACCAAACCUAUCUGCUUUCUUAAUCAUAGGCUUUAAAAAUGUCUCUGCUAGUUAUCCAGCUAUUUCAAGAGCUGCACUGAUUAAAUCUAUACCCAAACAAACACAGAAGUCAGAAUAAAUCUGUUAUUCAGGUCUAUCGCUUCAAAUGAUUAAAAAUGAUAAAAUUCAAGAAAGACAUUAAAUGGAGACAUUGUUUCUCUACAGCCUCUAGCACUGAGGAUUUAAGCUCAAAUCCACUCUGAACGGCAUCCCCAAGAACGAGAAUAAGAAAAUGUCCUUUUAUUGCUAGAGUCUGGGUUUGUAGCAUCCACAGCUGAAGCCUGAGCUGCAAAAAAAAAGUGUGACUAAGGAUCAACCAUCUUGUAAAGCAGAAACUGUACCCUGGCUAUACUUCUGGUGUGGAGACACCUUCUUGGGAAGACGCUGCGGAGACGAUGACACAGAAAAAUGACUAGGUUUAUACUUACCUUGCACCAGCCAUGGUGGGAUUAAUGGGGCAAAGAAGCUUCCACACUGCACAACACCAGAGCCUUGGGGUAUGGCUUGAGGAACAUGGCAAAAUUCAGCUCUAAAGGAAAGCCUCUAUUUUAUUAGGCCUCACGUCUAUUCUGAGUGGCCAGUAAUCUUUAACCAAGCAGGCAGGAGAUCACCCACAUGCCUUGGACUGUACUCGGCCACAAAUGAUUACUAGAAGAAUAUAAUAAGCCUAAACCAGAAGUUACGAGAAAUUUGGAAAAAUCAAAUGUGUAAGCGAAGACACAAGUAAUGUAGAACUAUACUGAAUUAGGACAAAGCGUAUGAGCCUUCUACCAAUUAGGAAACAAAUGUUGAAGCUGAAGAAAAACCCCAACAAACCAUCAGCCACCAAUUUAGUAAUGACUCUGCACCCUAGAAACACCGAUCGAGUGUAUUAUCAGUAAGGGUAGGUUAACCCCAGUCCCCCACUAAUGCAGAAGUCCUUCCCCAGGUCGCCUUCCGUGUAGCCGUGCUCUUACUCAGCGUCCCUCCAUCCCAGGGGACAGCAAGGGACCCCAGCCCCCGUGGCAGCGCAGGGUGCGCUAGCCAGAGCGGGAGCCCCGCCACGCCGCCUGCAGUCCUGCUGGUAAUCACAGCCCGGCACCUGUAUUUUAUCAACAAGGGAACCAAAGGUGGGAAGGGUGAGUGGGUUGUGAAAGGUAAUGGUAUCGCUGGCUCCGAAGCCGGACAAGUCGUAAGUCUGCUGUCCCACACCCAACUGCAAAAAAGCACGCUUUUGUAUUUCAUACCACACGUAACAUCCAGGCUGGGUGACAUGAAGGUUAAAAGUAAUUUUGGCUGCAGUAGACCAGCACAUAGAUUACAAGAGGAAUUUUAUUAUCAGAGCACUAUAGAAGGAAGGGCUGCUUUGCAGUCAGGAUGCAACAGAUGCCAGAGGAAAGCCAAUGACACGAUGUGGCUGCUGCCAGCUAUUGACACAGCUAUUUGCAGAGCGCGGCCGUACCCGGCUAUCACCACGUCCACAUGGGCUACCAGGGCAGAGCUCCCUCCGCACAUGGUCUGGUGCAUGCAAAUCACCUUAUCAGCGAUGCUAAUUCUCAGUCGAAAGAAGCCAUUGAACUUUUCAACAGUCAAUAUUUUAAGGAGUUCUCAGAUAGCACUCGGAGUAAGCAGAUAACCAUUUUAAAUAUAGAGACGCUGGAAUGGAAGCCCAUGAGUGCUGGGUGCCAGCAGUGAUCUGGAUUAUUUGCUUGUUACUAAAUACCCCACAGCAUUACUUCCCAGGUUGUUCAGCUCAAGUCUGACGCAAACAGUGGCAGAACAACAAACAAGAAUUUGCAGGAUUUUGUAAGCACCAAAAUAACUGAAGGAAUAAGGAACAAAUUGGUUCGGGGCUGCUGUUGCUCAGGAUUGCAUCUUUGGAAGGACGAGGACAGUUUACUCUUUAAUUACGUGUAGAACCUAACAAAAGGCUUGACAAGCAUUUCCAAAUCUCAGCAACAGAAAAGCAACACGAGGAUAAAUAAAGGAAAGAAGACUUGUGAGAGCAGAUUUAGUUCAAGGAUGCUUUUCCCCUCUAUCGAUACCCAGAAAUAGUCCGCACCACAGCGUGUCACUGAAUUCCUCAGGACCCCAAGUACAAUUCUGUUUUGUAGCAUACAUGCUCGUAGAGUAGGGGAUGAAAGUCCACACAUGGAAAAACUUGCCACCCCUGACUAUCGCAGAGUUUAGAAGGGGACAGAAAAAAAUAGUAAAAAUAGUUCCAGAGCAACAUUAGUUCCAUAUGGAAGAAAACCUCUCCAGGAGGAAGCCUCCCCCCUGUAAAAAAGGCAUUAAAAACCUGUUCGUAAACUAACGCCUCCAGGCAAUAAGCCAGACCAAAGUGAGAAUUUAGCAAGGCUUUAAACGUAUGUACCAGGCACGCUUCUAAGAACUUCCACAGCACAGAAAAACAAAUAGCAUGGCGAUGGAAAAACAAAGUAAAUCAAGGUGUAUAAAUUCAGCUGCAGGCAGUGGACUCCUUGCGGCAGAUACAGGCUAUCCUGCUGACCAGGGGCAGAGAAGAUGGAGCAGCAGGGACUGGCCAGCUGCCCCAGUUCCCAGCUGGUUUACAGAACCUGGUAGCCAGCCUACAGCCCCAGCAGACCAGCUGUGCUCAAGGCAAAGACUAGCUAAGAUGCACUACUCAUGCUGUAAUCACACCACUAACGGCAGCGUGGGCAGUCUUAUAUAAAUAGCUGAGAUUAUAUAUAUAUAGCAACUCUUAUUUGAUUAAAAUUAAAUACAAUUGUGAGAAAGUUAACUGACCAUGACUGAGAACUCCUGAUCAGAACAAACUGUUCAGCAUUGUGCCAGUUUGCAAUUAUUAGAUCUCAUGUGAUGACAGUACAUGUCAAAUGCUCUGUCCUGGUCUGUUCAGCAACGAUAAACAUCACCUCUUCCAGCUGAAGUUCUCGUUAGAUAUACUUUAAAAUGCUGCCUUUUAACUAAAGACCACAUAGAGAAGAAAAGGGAUGGGCAUUGCUGAUGAGCGUAGGACAGAAGCCAUCUUCCACCCACCGCGAACACCCCAUGAAACCCUGCACUUUCUGCAGGGACUCCCGCGGUUUACCAAGGGAGAAUCCGACACCACACUCAGAGUAUCUUCACUUUCUAGCGGCAGAUUUCACUUUGCGUGGUCCUUACAAAGUCCUUUGACCUUCUUUAAUCAUCUCCACAUAAGGAAUUACUUCUACUUAAUAAGCCAGACUGCCUAGCUGUACCCGCCGAUGAUCCGUGGAUGAAGCCUGUUAUGAGCAGGGUU